GACGAACGCUGGCGGCGUGCCUAACACAUGCAAGUCGAGCGCUGACGGAUGGUACUUGUACCCACUGGGUGAGCAGCGGACGGGUGAGUAACGCGUGGGGAAUCUGCCUCUGAGCGGGGGACGACAACGGGAAACGACUGCUACUACUGCAUCAAACCUUUAACCACAAGAUUCAAGUUUGAAAGAUGCCAUUCCCUCACUCAUAGGUGAUCCCGCGUUGUAUUAGCUAGUUGGUGAGGUAAAGGCUCACCAAGGCGAUGAUACAUAGCCGACCUGAGAGGGUGGACGGCCACAUUGGGACUGAGACACGGCCCAAACUCCUACGGGAGGCAGCAGUAGGGGAUCAUCGGCAAUGGAGGAAAGGCUGACCGAACAACGCCGCGGGAGGGAAGAAGGUUCUCGGAGCGGAAAACUCUGUUUGUAGGGAAGAACGAUGAGGAGAGUGGAAAGCUGAUGAAGUGACGGUAACUAACCAAAAAGGGACGGCUAACUACGUG
This 497-nucleotide ribosomal RNA is filed under the name uncultured bacterium. Its description in RNAcentral is "partial 16S ribosomal RNA". It matches the Rfam family "Bacterial small subunit ribosomal RNA", at positions 28 to 507 of the family's 1533-position model. The record is from RNAcentral.